Molecule: ribosomal RNA, 163 nt
Filed under: Pennellia brachycarpa
Lineage: Eukaryota; Viridiplantae; Streptophyta; Magnoliopsida; Brassicales; Brassicaceae
Also listed under: 6 other names
Description: 5.8S ribosomal RNA
Rfam family: 5.8S ribosomal RNA
About the family: 5.8S ribosomal RNA (5.8S rRNA) is a component of the large subunit of the eukaryotic ribosome. It is transcribed by RNA polymerase I as part of the 45S precursor that also contains 18S and 28S rRNA.
Source: RNAcentral
AACGACUCUCGGCAACGGAUAUCUCGGCUCUCGCAUCGAUGAAGAACGUAGCGAAAUGCGAUACUUGGUGUGAAUUGCAGAAUCCCGUGAACCAUCGAGUCUUUGAACGCAAGUUGCGCCCCAAGCCUUUUGGCCGAGGGCACGUCUGCCUGGGUGUCACAAA